ACCAACAUUUGACUGUCUAUCUUAUAUAAAAUUUUUUUAUAUUUAGUAUUUUCAAUGUUGUUAGAUGAUAAAACAUAAUUAAUACUUUAUAUGUAACUUAUCUUUUUAAUUUUUUUUAUAAUUUAUUUAAAUAAGAUGAACGGUCAAACAUUGGACAC
Molecule: microRNA precursor, 158 nt
Filed under: Oryza barthii
Lineage: Eukaryota; Viridiplantae; Streptophyta; Magnoliopsida; Poales; Poaceae
Description: MIR812 microRNA precursor family
Rfam family: MIR812 microRNA precursor family
Source: Rfam by way of RNAcentral